This 253-nucleotide ribosomal RNA is filed under the name uncultured bacterium. Its description in RNAcentral is "partial 16S ribosomal RNA". It matches the Rfam family "Bacterial small subunit ribosomal RNA", at positions 524 to 776 of the family's 1533-position model. The record is from RNAcentral.
GACGAACCGUGCGAACGUUGUUCGGAAUCACUGGGCUUAAAGGGCGCGUAGGCGGGCCUUCAAGUCCGGGGUGAAAUCCUCCCGCCCAACGGGAGAAGCGCCUCGGAGACUGAAGGCCUCGAGGAGGGUAGGGGCGUGCGGAACACUGGGUGGAGCGGUGAAAUGCAUUGAUAUCCAGUGGAACUCCGGUGGCGAAGGCGGCACGCUGGACCCUUUCUGACGCUGAGGCGCGAAAGCCAGGGGAGCAAACGGG